CGUGCACUGGUGGGGUCCCUCGGCCUGGCCUGCACCCUCUCACAAUCCGGGACCCCAUGGGGAAUGUUGAACUGCUGGUUUUGGGCCAAUCCCUGUAGGCCAGGCCGAGGGACCCCACUAGUGCACG
Myotis brandtii (Brandt's bat) is the source of this 127-nucleotide non-coding RNA. The record is from Rfam. NCBI's taxonomy places the organism in Eukaryota, Metazoa, Chordata, Mammalia, Chiroptera, Vespertilionidae.